This 1264-nucleotide long non-coding RNA is filed under the name Cyanistes caeruleus (blue tit). Its description in RNAcentral is "lncRNA (ENSCCEG00000009755.1)". Lineage: Eukaryota; Metazoa; Chordata; Aves; Passeriformes; Paridae. The record is from RNAcentral.
CAGUAAACCACGUUAGAAGAUGUUGAAUGUUCUUGGGAAAUGUUGCUCUUUCGAGAUCAAAAUUCCAGAAAAUUCGGGACAGUUUGGUUUCUUCUAACAGGUGCUGGCUCCUUUUUCUCGAAUUCACAGCUGUUUCUCCGAAUGCCAUUUAAAGGAGCUCCGGGGGUGUUUAAUAACGAAACCGAGCGCUCUCGAAAGCGCAGGACGGUGUUUGGCCCCGAGCUGGGAGCAGUGAGUGGCCCCGGACUCGCCAUGUCCAACACGUCCCAUCUGAGGGGUUUUGGCUCUCGUUCCUGUUUUGUUUCAUCAUUCCUGGAAUCGCUCCUGCCCGGGGAUCACCGCUCUCGCUUGCACUUCGUGCCCUCUGCUGGGAGAGAUGGAUCAAACCAGCCCGAAGGAAAACCACGCUUCGCUCCAGGCUUUGGGCAAAGGCAGGCAGGGGAGUAGGAAUAUUUAUUCUCUCAACUUCCCUGAGUGAGCCAUGAAAACUCUCCAGCUUCUCCCUCAAGGAUUUUUAGUGGGCAUGAGAACACUGAAAAAAGGCAUUUUCCUUGUAAACACCGUGGUUUGCUGGAAUUCACCCCAGAACAGAACCCCCACUCAAGUGAAGAGGUCACACAUAAGCAGAUACUUUACCAUAGUUUACAUUUUCAGAUGGAGGAAGAGGCAGAAGCACAGGAGAUUUUCCUCUGCCUGCUAAACAAAACCAGGGGACGUGAAUCCAGGUGGACACCGACCUCGGGGCUCCACUCAGGGCUGGUUUGGGGACCUCCAGGGCUUGGGGAACUCCAGGGUUCGCAGACCUUGAUCCCACCUGGCCCCAGUUCUGCUCCUGGUUACUUUUCUUAAAAUCCCCAGCACCUUUUAGACAUCAGAGCCAUAACCUGGUAGCUUUAUUCCUGUCUCCUUUCCUUAUGAUGGGCUGUUUGCCCUAAAUCCGAGGAAGAGGAGGAGGAGAAAAGAACAGGAGGAGGAUGAACAUGGGAUGCAAACCCCAUUUUUCCUCUGGGCUGGAAGGUGGGUUAUGCUUCAUACCAACCCUCUUGAGCCUGGGGCUAUUUUCUGCUCAAUUUUCAGUCUUGGGGCUCCAAACCUCACUGAUGAUCACCUACGUGAGAAAAUGCAGAUUUGCCUGUUCUGUGGCUGACCCAAGAUGCAGGAGAAGCUCAGCCCCAGGAGCACACAGGUGCUGCAGUGUGGAGAGGUGUUAUUCCAAGGGUGAGCUUUGCCCAAGGAGAUAAAUAAAAAAGAAUGAGGAAAAGCA